Molecule: ribosomal RNA, 792 nt
Filed under: Pseudo-nitzschia fraudulenta
Lineage: Eukaryota; Bacillariophyta; Bacillariophyceae; Bacillariales; Bacillariaceae
Description: partial Bacterial small subunit ribosomal RNA
Rfam family: Bacterial small subunit ribosomal RNA
Source: RNAcentral
AUGGAGAGUUUGAUCCUGGCUCAGAACUAACGCUGGCGGCGCGUCUUAAACAUGCAAGUGGAACGGUAAGGCUCGAGCUUGCUCGAGUACACGAGUCGCAAACGGGUGAGUAACACGUGGGUCAUUUACCCUAGAGUGGGGGAUAGCCCGGAGAAAUCCGGAUUAAUACCGCAUACGCCGGAAACGGUAAAGGGGGCUUCGGCUCUCGCUUUAGGAUAAGCCCGCGCACCAUUAGCUUGUUGGUGGGGUAAAAGCCUACCAAGGCAACGAUGGUUAGCCGGCCUGAGAGGGUGAUCGGCCACAUUGGGACUGAGACACGGCCCAAACUCCUACGGGAGGCAGCAGUUAAGAAUCUUGGACAAUGGGAGCAAUCCUGAUCCAGCGACGCCGCGUGAGCGAUGAAGGCCUUAGGGUUGUAAAGCUCAAUAAGUAGGGAAGAAUAAGGUAGUGUUAAUACCACUAUCGAUGACGGUACCUACCUAAAGCACCGGCUAAAUACGUGCCAGCAGCCGCGGUAAUACGUAUGGUGCGAGCGUUGUUCGGAAUCAUUGGGCGUAAAGGGCGUGUAGGCGGGAAGCUAAGCGGGAAGUGAAAUUUUUGAGCUCAACUCAGAGACUGCUUUCCGAACUGGUUUUCUAGAGUGCAGGAGGGGCAAGGGGAAUUGGCAGUGUAGCGGUGAAAUGCGUAGAUAUUGCCAGGAACACCGGUGGCGAAGGCGCCUUGCUGGCCUGAUACUGACGCUGAUGCGCGAAAGCGUGGGGAGCGAACGGGAUUAGAUACCCCGGUAGUCCA